RNAcentral lists this ribosomal RNA (492 nucleotides) under uncultured bacterium. Its description in RNAcentral is "partial 16S ribosomal RNA". It matches the Rfam family "Bacterial small subunit ribosomal RNA", at positions 29 to 507 of the family's 1533-position model. The record is from RNAcentral.
AGUGAACGCUGGCGGUAGGCCUAACACAUGCAAGUCGAACGGCAGCACAGUAAGAGCUUGCUCUUACGGGUGGCGAGUGGCGGACGGGUGAGGAAUACAUCGGAAUCUACUUUUUCGUGGGGGAUAACGUAGGGAAACUUUCGCUAAUACCGCAUACGACCUACGGGUGAAAGCAGGGGAUCUUCGGACCUUGCGCGAUUGAAUGAGCCGAUGUCGGAUUAGCUAGUUGGCGGGGUAAAGGCCCACCAAGGCGACGAUCCGUAGCUGGUCUGAGAGGAUGAUCAGCCACACUGGAACUGAGACACGGUCCAGACUCCUACGGGAGGCAGCAGUGGGGAAUAUUGGACAAUGGGCGCAAGCCUGAUCCAGCCAUACCGCGUGGGUGAAGAAGGCCUUCGGGUUGUAAAGCCCUUUUGUUGGGGAAGAAAAGCAGCAGGUUAAUACCCCGCUGUUCUGACGGUACCCAAAGAAUAAGCACCGGCUAACUUCGUG